Long non-coding RNA from Microplitis mediator, 507 nucleotides. RefSeq lists it as uncharacterized. The record is from RefSeq and is a predicted model, not a curated record. NCBI's taxonomy places the organism in Eukaryota, Metazoa, Arthropoda, Insecta, Hymenoptera, Braconidae. The transcript has 3 exons.
CCUCUUCCGUAAGAUAAAAAUAUAAAAAGUAUAUAUAAAUCGUAUGUGUUUUUAUUUAUCAAUUAAAAUGAUCGAUGUAUCUCUGAUUAUUUUCACUUUUGUUAAUUGUAGACAGUACAUACUUUUCUAAAUACUUUCAUUAUAUCUCAAUGUACAUUGAUGCAAAAAAUAAUAGCAGGUUCACUGCGCGAAACGAAUCUGUGAGUGAAAGAUUUAUUAAUAAUUUUUUAAUCCACGCUUUUAGAUUCCCUUUUUCUUUUUUUUGUUCAUCAUCUAGUCCGAACUUUAAUGUGGAAAAAAAAAUUAAAUACUCUUCGAGUUUAAUGAUCUCUGGAAUAAAACUAGAACUCGAGCACGUAAUAUAUAAGCAGAAUGUUUUCCGCUAUUCGGACAUACUAAAGUUGUAAGGUAGAGGUGGUUUUGUGUCCUGGAUCAUAAGUAGGAGUUUAUGAAAAAAGACAACGAGCUACGAUGAAAAAUAAUGAGAACAGGCGCUAGCUAAAGGGA